GAUGAACGCUAGCGGCAGGCCUAACACAUGCAAGUCGAGGGAGAGGUUAUCUUCGGGUAACCAAAACCGGCGCACGGGUGCGUAACGCGUAUACAAUCUGCCUUUCACAUAGGGAUAGCCCGAAGAAAUUUGGAUUAAUACCUAAUGGUAUAUAGGAGCGGCAUCGUUUUUAUAUUAAAGCUACGGUGGUGAAAGAUGAGUAUGCGUUCUAUUAGCUAGUUGGAGAGGUAACGGCUCCCCAAGGCGACGAUAGAUAGGGGUUCUGAGAGGGAUGUCCCCCACACUGGUACUGAGAUACGGACCAGACUCCUACGGGAGGCAGCAGUGAGGAAUAUUGGACAAUGGUCGGAAGACUGAUCCAGCCAUGCCGCGUGCAGGAUGAAGGUCCUAUGGAUUGUAAACUGCUUUUGUAAGGGAAGAAUAAGGAGUACGUGUACUUUGAUGACGGUACCUUACGAAUAAGCAUCGGCUAACUCCGUGCCAGCAGCCGCGGUAAUACGGAGGAUGCGAGCGUUAUCCGGAAUCAUUGGGUUUAAAGGGUCCGUAGGCGGGCUGAUAAGUCAGAGGUGAAAGCGCUUAGCUCAACUAAGCAACUGCCUUUGAAACUGUCAGUCUUGAAUGAUUGUGAAGUGGUUGGAAUGUGUAGUGUAGCGGUGAAAUGCUUAGAUAUUACACAGAACACCGAUAGCGAAGGCAUAUUACUAACAAUUUAUUGACGCUGAUGGACGAAAGCGUGGGGAGCGAACAGA
Molecule: ribosomal RNA, 749 nt
Filed under: uncultured Capnocytophaga sp.
Lineage: Bacteria; Pseudomonadati; Bacteroidota; Flavobacteriia; Flavobacteriales; Flavobacteriaceae
Description: bacterial SSU rRNA
Rfam family: Bacterial small subunit ribosomal RNA
Source: RNAcentral